UACGUAGGGGGCGAGCGUUGUCCGGAUUUAUUGGGCGUAAAAGGCUUGUAGGUGGCCACGCCAAGUCGGCUGUGAAAUCUCCCGGCUCAACUGGGAGGGGUCAGUCGAUACUGGCGGGCUCGAGGCCGGUAGGGGGAAGCGGAAUUCCCGGUGUAGUGGUGGAAUGCGUAGAUAUCGGGAGGAGCACCAGUGGCGAAGGCGGUUGCCUGGAGCUUUGCUGACGCUGAGGCGCGAAAGCGUGGGGAGCGAUCCGG
Molecule: ribosomal RNA, 254 nt
Filed under: uncultured bacterium
Lineage: Bacteria
Description: partial 16S ribosomal RNA
Rfam family: Bacterial small subunit ribosomal RNA
Source: RNAcentral